GGUGGGAAAUAGCAUAUCAAUAAGCGGAGGAAAAGAAAGCAACAGCGAUAGCCCCAGUAACGGCGAGUGAAGCGGCUACAGCUCAAAUUUGAAAUCUGGCCCCCUCCGGGGGUCCGAGUUGUAAUUUGCAGAGGAUGCUUUGGCGUUGGCGGCGGUCUAAGUUCCUUGGAACAGGACAUCGCAGAGGGUGAGAAUCCCGUACGUGGGCGCCUGCCUUCGCCGUGUAAAGCUCCUUCGACGAGUCGAGUUGUUUGGGAAUGCAGCUCUAAAUGGGAGGUAAAUUUCUCCUAAAGCUAAAUACCGGCCAGAGACCGAUAGCGCACAAGUAGAGUGAUCGAAAGAUGAAAAGUACUUUGGAAAGAGAGUCAAAUAGCACGUGAAAUUGUUGAAAGGGAAGCGCUUGCAGCCAGACUUGCCCGCGGUUGCUCACCCAGGCUCCCGCCUGGGGCACUCUUCCGCGGGCAGGCCAGCAUCAGUUUGGGCGGUCGGACAAAGGUCUCUGUCACGUACCACCCUCCGGGGUGGCCUUAUAGGGGAGACGCAAUGCGACCAGCCCGGACUGAGGUCCGCGCAUCUGCUAGGAUGCUGGCGUAAUGGCUGUAAGCGGCCCGUCUUGAAACACGGACCAAGGAGUCUAACAUCUAUGCGAGUGUUUGGGUGUCAAGCCCGGGCGCGUAAUGAAAGUGAACGGAGGUGGGAACCCCUCGCGGGGCGCACCAUCGACCGAUCCUGAUGUCUUCGGAUGGAUUUGAGUAAGAGCAUAGCUGUUGGGACCCGAAAGAUGGUGAACUAUGCUUGAAUAGGGUGAAGCCAGAGGAAACUCUGGUGGAGGCUCGCAGCGGUUCUGACGUGCAAAUCGAUCGUCAAAUUUGGGCAUAGGGCGAAAGACUAAUCGAACCAUCUAGUAGCUGGUUCCUGCCGAAUUCCCCCUCAGGA
This 936-nucleotide ribosomal RNA is filed under the name Neokalmusia arundinis. RNAcentral describes it as "partial 28S ribosomal RNA". It matches the Rfam family "Eukaryotic large subunit ribosomal RNA", at positions 27 to 978 of the family's 3401-position model. The record is from RNAcentral. Lineage: Eukaryota; Fungi; Ascomycota; Dothideomycetes; Pleosporales; Didymosphaeriaceae.